Camellia sinensis is the source of this 955-nucleotide non-coding RNA. Lineage: Eukaryota; Viridiplantae; Streptophyta; Magnoliopsida; Ericales; Theaceae. The record is from RefSeq and is a predicted model, not a curated record.
CCGUGGGUAAUACAAGGGCUCUCUUCAUCUUUUGAGAGCACAAAUAACAAAUAACAUACAGAGCAAACCUACCUGCAAGUUCAAACUCAAUCAAACCUCAUGUAUUGAAGUCCAAAGUUCUAAUGUACCAAGAUUACCACAUCCUAAUUAUUUUGUUUCAUUUUCAUUUUUUGAAUAAUUUGUAGUGAGCAAUAAACUUGAUUUUUUUACACUUGCCAAAUAUAUUUUUCUUGAAAACAAGAUUAAAUGCCAUUGUGACACUGGGGUAUAAUGAUAAAUAAUCAAUCCAUGAUGUUCACUAAGACUUUAUGUUGUCUAAUGUUGUUUGGAGAGAAAUGGAAUGCUUAAUAUCACCCAUUUGAAUACUAUGUUCCCCCAUUUGCACACAUGAAUGUAAAUCUCUGAUAGAACAUUUUUCUCCUUUAAUAUUCUCAAACUACAAUAAUAUAUAUGUUUUUUGAGGCCAUGUUUUUUCUUCUUUAAUUUUGUUAUAUAAUAAUGAGCAUAUUUAUAAAAGUUCAAAUGAAUUAUUAAUUUAUUUUCAAUAAUAGGUGGAACCAAUUCAAAAAAUCAACCCGAGUUACUUCGGGUUGAUUUGGUUCAAUUUUAACGAAUAAUUAAUAUGUAGUUCUAGUUCAAAAAAUCACAAACCCAUUCAAUUGUUUUGAAUUUAAUACUAACCCAAACCAAACCCCCAUUCAUUCUUGCAAUGAGGUUUAGUAGGAUUAGGUAAUGAUCAUGGCAAACCCCCCUACAUUCUUGCAAUGAGGUCUAGUAGGAUUAUGUAAUGAUCAUGUCAAACACACUAGGUGCUAUCAACUCUUUUAAGGCCACCCCUACAGGCUCUGCCUGAUAUUUGCCCCGAUCACUUGGAGGGACACUUUGUGUGGAUUUCGGAAUUAGUCGAGGUGCGUGUAAACUAGUCCAGACACUCGGCCAUCAAAAAAAAAAAAAA